UGCCAGACUCCUACGGGAGGCAGCAGUGGGGAAUAUUGCACAAUGGGGGAAACCCUGAUGCAGCGACGCCGCGUGAGUGAAGAAGUCUUUCGGUAUGUAAAGCCCUAUCAGCAGGGAAGAACAAUGACGGUACCUGACUAAGAAGCACCGGCUAAAUACGUGCCAGCAGCCGCGGUAAUACGUAUGGUGCAAGCGUUAUCCGGAUUUACUGGGUGUAAAGGGAGCGCAGGCGGCGCGUUAAGCCUGGUGUGAAAGCCCGCGGCCCAACCGCGGGACUGCAUUGGGAACUGGCGCGCUGGAGUGCCGGAGGGGUAGGCGGAAUUCCUAGUGUAGCGGUGAAAUGCGUAGAUAUUAGGAGGAACACCAGUGGCGAAGGCGGCCUACUGGACGGUGACUGACGCUGAGGCUCGAAAGCGUGGGGAGCAAACAGGAUUAGAUACCCGAGUAAA
Molecule: ribosomal RNA, 449 nt
Filed under: uncultured bacterium
Lineage: Bacteria
Description: bacterial SSU rRNA
Rfam family: Bacterial small subunit ribosomal RNA
Source: RNAcentral